GGGUCGUGUGCAGGUCCGGUGAUUGCGGCGGUCUGAAAAUCCGCAGAACUCGGUUCGACUCCGAGACGGCCCA
Molecule: transfer RNA, 73 nt
Filed under: Polyangiaceae bacterium
Lineage: Bacteria; Pseudomonadati; Myxococcota; Polyangiales; Polyangiaceae
Description: tRNA-Phe
Rfam family: tRNA
About the family: Transfer RNA (tRNA) molecules are approximately 80 nucleotides in length.
Source: RNAcentral